This is a long non-coding RNA of Aplysia californica (California sea hare), 1737 nucleotides long. RefSeq lists it as uncharacterized. NCBI's taxonomy places the organism in Eukaryota, Metazoa, Mollusca, Gastropoda, Aplysiida, Aplysiidae. The transcript has 3 exons. The record is from RefSeq and is a predicted model, not a curated record.
UUCUUGCACACGCAAGGCGUGUUGUUUUUCUUACACACGCAAGGCGUGUUGUUUUUCUUACACACAAGGUGUGAGAGGGUUGGACCCCACGUUGGGACUGGGAAUGCUUGUCUCAGUUCUUUCCCCUUGAUUCCAUCGUUAUGGCUUGUUCUGUCUGAGUGUUGUCGAUGGAGAAAACAAAUCUGUCGUCUAAAGUAAGAAAAUCAUACAUUGUCUGUCUGUCUCUGUCGUCUAAAGUAAGAAAAUAAUACAUUGUCUGUCUGUCUCUGUCGUCUAAAGUAAGAAAAUCAUACAUUGUCUGUCUGUCUGUGUCGUCUAAAGUAAGAAAAUCAUACAUUGUUCUGGCUUGCUCUACUCUAAGUUGUUGUCGAUGGAGACAACUAUUUUCUUUUCUCUCUCUAUUGAUAUGUAGUUUGAUGAGAAGGGCCAGGUGUGUUACUCAUGUAACAAGGCCAGGUGUGUUACCCAUGUAACAAGGCCAGGUGUGUUACUCAUGUAACAAGGCCAGGUGUGUUACCCAUGUAACAAGGCCAGGUGUGUUACCCAUUUAACAAGGCCAGGUGUGUAUGUGUGUUACCCAUGUAACAAGGCUAGGUGUGUAUGUGUGUUACCCAUGUAACAAGGCCAGGUGUGUAUGUGUGUUACCCAUGUAACAAGGCCGGGUGUGUAUGUGUGUUACCCAUGUAACAAGGCCAGGUGUGUUACCCAUGUAACAAGGCCAGGUGUGUUACCCAUGUAACAAGGCCAGGUGUGUUACCCAUGUAACAAGGCUAGGUGUGUUACCCAUGUAACAAGACCAGGUGUGUAUGUGUGUUACCCAUGUAACAAGGCCAGGUGUGUAUGUGUGUUACCCAUGUAACAAGGCUAGGUGUGUAUAUGUGUUACCCAUGUAACAAGGCCAGGUGUGUUACUCAUGUAACAAGGCUAGGUGUGUUACCCAUGUAACAAGGCCAGGUGUGUAUGUGUGUUACCCAUGUAACAAGGCCGGGUGUGUAUGUGUGUUACCCAUGUAACAAGGCCAGGUGUGUUACCCAUGUAACAAGGCCAGGUGUGUUACCCAUGUAACAAGGCCAGGUGUGUAUGUGUGUUACCCAUGUAACAAGGCCAGGUGUGUAUGUGUGUUACCCAUGUAACAAGGCUAGGUGUGUAUAUGUGUUACCCAUGUAACAAGGCCAGGUGUGUUACUCAUGUAACAAGGCUAGGUGUGUUACCCAUGUAACAAGGCCAGGUGUGUAUGUGUGUUACCCAUGUAACAAGGCCAGGUGUGUUACCCAUGUAACAAGGCCAGGUGUGUAUGUGUGUUACCCAUGUAACAAGGCCAGGUGUGUAUGUGUGUUACCCAUGUAACAAGGCUAGGUGUGUUACCCAUGUACAAGGCCAGGUGUGUUACCCAUGUAACAAGGCUAGGUGUGUUACCCAUGUAACAAGGCCAGGUGUGUAUGUGUGUUACCCAUGUAACAAGGCCAGGUGUGUUACCCAUGUAACAAGGCCAGGUGUGUAUGUGUGUUACCCAUGUAACAAGGCCAGGUGUGUUACCCAUGUAACAAGGCCAGGUGUGUAUGUGUGUUACCCAUGUAACAAGGCCAGGUGUGUAUGUGUGUUACCCAUGUAACAAGGCUAGGUGUGUUACCCAUGUACAAGGCCAGGUGUGUUACCCAUGUAACAAGGCUAGGUGUGUUACCCAUGUAACAAGGCCAGGUGUGUUACCCAUGUAACAAGGCCAGGUGUGUAUGUGUG